GAAGAAUUAACAGGAUCCUCAUUUGAAUAUUCGGGCUUAAAUUUCACUUGAGGAACUGGAGACUUGCGGCGGAAAUUUGAUGGUGGUCUGGCAAAAGAUGACGAAUUAGGUUCUAGGACUCCACUCCUUUCUUUGUUAUUUGGAUCAAGGAAACUUGUGCUUUUAUCCUCCCUGUUUGAUCCACUAUGUUCCUGUUGGUCCACAGCUAAGUCUCGACCGCCAGCUUUUUUCUUACCUUGCUCAAUUGAGUGUUUCCUCAGCAGCUUAAGGAGUGAAUUCACAGUUUCACUCUCUUUACCUUUUGAGGUUUCGACCUUCUUGUCUUCUUUGACUGCAGCUCUUUCACGAAGCUGAGCCUGUACCUUCCUGAAUAGUUCAACAAUCUCCUUCUCUCUUGGCCCUGGGGCUGCAGUGGCUUGGAAUUUNNNNNNAUUUGAGAAAGAAAAUAAUGGUCCAUUCUUCGAAGUUAACAAAUCAGAUUCAUCAAGGUUUUCAAAGCUCUCUCUCUCCUCAUUUUUCCUGUUCCUGUUUCGGGAGAAACCCUGUCUGCUUUGCUUUGAGAAGUCUGGGUUUCUCCUAGGACCACCAGAACUUGCACUGCACACAAAAGAUGCUGCCCCGGAAGCACAUUUUAUUGACCCAAUCUUGACCUGUGAACAAAUUUUAUGAUUACCAUGAGAAGAACAAGGGGAUACAGUUACUGCCUUUCCAGAAAUUCCUGAACGAGGGAGACACCUGCCUUCUGAAGGACCAAAACCGGGAACGCUUUUAGAGAUGAGAUGGACUGCUUGCAACAUUGCAUUUGCAGUCGGGAUUGAGCUUCAGCUUGAGAUUAGAUUAAUGGGGUUUUGCAUUAGGAGU
RNAcentral lists this unclassified non-coding RNA (861 nucleotides) under Hevea brasiliensis (rubber tree). The record is from RNAcentral. Lineage: Eukaryota; Viridiplantae; Streptophyta; Magnoliopsida; Malpighiales; Euphorbiaceae.